RNAcentral lists this long non-coding RNA (709 nucleotides) under Homo sapiens (human). Its description in RNAcentral is "long non-coding RNA NONHSAT191178.1". The record is from RNAcentral. Lineage: Eukaryota; Metazoa; Chordata; Mammalia; Primates; Hominidae.
CCCCGCAGCGCCUCCACCCCAGAGACCCGGACCAAGUUCACACAGGACAAUCUGUGCCACGCCCAGCGCGAGCGCCUGGACUCGGCCAACCUGUGGGUGCUGGUGGACUGCAUCCUUCGCGACACCUCCGAGGACCUGGGACUCCAGUGUGACGCCGUGAACCUGGCCUUCGGGCGCCGCUGUGAGGAACUGGAGGACGCGCGGCACAAGCUGCAGCACCACCUGCACAAGAUGCUGCGGGAAAUCACAGAUCAGGAACACAACGUGGUGGCACUGAAGGAGGCCAUCAAGGACAAGGAGGAACCUCUGCACAUAGCCCAGACCCGGCUGUAGUUGCUCUCACACCGGCCCAACAUGCAGCUGUGCCGCGAUGCAGCCCAGUUCAGGUGCAUACUUCUGCCCUCCCCAGCCCCAGCUCACACCCCCCAACACCCCCAAGCUGGUGAGUGAGGUGGAGGAGCUGUACAAGUCCAUCACAGCGCUGCGGGAGAAGCUUCUACAAGCGGAGCAGUCCCUGCGCAACCUCAAGGACAUCCACAUGAGCCUGGAGAAGGACGUCACUGCCAUGACCAACAGUCUCUUCAUCGACCGCCAGAAGUGCAUGGCCCAUCGUACUUGCUACCCCACCAUUCUGCAGCUGGCUGGCUACCAGUGAGCAGCGGCACGGUGCUUCCCCCCAAUCCCCCAAAUAAACAGUGCGUUAGCUUUC